GACGAACGCUGGCGGCGUGCCUAAUACAUGCAAGUAGAACGCACAGUUUAUACCGUAGCUUGCUCCACCAUAGACUGUGAGUUGCGAACGGGUGAGUAACGCGUAGGUAACCUGCCUGGUAGCGGGGGAUAACUAUUGGAAACGAUAGCUAAUACCGCAUAAUAUUAAUUAUUGCAUGAUAAUUAAUUGAAAGGUGCAAUUGCACCACUACCAGAUGGACCUGCGUUGUAUUAGCUAGUAGGUGAGGUAACGGCGCACCUAGGCGACGAUACAUAGCCGACCUGAGAGGGUAAGCGGCCACACUGGGACGGGGACACGGCCCAGACUCCUACGGGAGGCAGCAGUAGGGGAUCUUCGGGAAUGGACGAAAGUCUGACCGAGCAACGCCGCGUGAGUGAAGAAGGUUUUCGGAUCGUAAAGCUCUGUUGUAAGAGAAGAACGGGUGUGAGAGUGGAAAGUUCACACUGUGACGGUAUCUUACCAGAAAGGGACGGCUAACUACGUG
RNAcentral lists this ribosomal RNA (505 nucleotides) under uncultured bacterium. RNAcentral's name for it is "partial 16S ribosomal RNA". It matches the Rfam family "Bacterial small subunit ribosomal RNA", at positions 28 to 507 of the family's 1533-position model. The record is from RNAcentral.